Molecule: long non-coding RNA, 932 nt
Organism: Labeo rohita (rohu)
Lineage: Eukaryota; Metazoa; Chordata; Actinopteri; Cypriniformes; Cyprinidae
Exons: 3
Source: RefSeq, a predicted model, not a curated record
UAUCUACACUCGAAGGACUUGAGAUUGACAGGAUGCUCCGAAAUGCACGUCACCUCAGGACGACCACUAAACACGGACCAGUCGACUGUGAGCCCAAGAUUGAUCUUCAGAAAUGCUGCUGGGGCACUCCAUCAUUUCCUCGUUAGCCCCUGGUCCCUGCCCUGGCCUGAAGUCAUCGCUCAGUUAGGCAGCUGCCAGGCCGGCCCUGAGGGUCCCCAGUGUGUUUUCCAGCAUUUCCCCUCAUCUCUCCAGUAAACUAAGUUUAUGCAAAGGACAAAUGUGAGUAGGGUAACACAGCGACAGCGUCCCAACCACCUUCCCCUGAGGGUCACGGGUGUCGUGACCCUGCAGCAGGUGCCACUGAUCUCGUUGCCCAAUCGCUGUCCCAGUUUCCCGGAUUUCCAUCCACACCUGCACUAGGAUGAAGAUUUCCCAUUAAGUGUGACCAGAAUUAUUAUUUAUAGGAAACUGAUUAUUUUGAUUAAUAGGAUUUUAAAAAUGUAAAGCAAUUAAAAUUAAAAUUAAAAUUAUUUUAAAGCUUUAAUUGUAAACACCAAGUUAAUAUUAUUCUGGCCAUAAAUAAGUACCUUUUUCACAUUUCUGUACUUACUAGCUACAUUUCUAAUAUUAAAUGUCUAAUUUAUCCACCUUGUUUUUCAAUGCAGAAGUAAGCUGUUUUCUGGUAAUGAGCGAAACUUUCAAAAUCCACCAUAGGAAAAUAACGAGAAGAAUAGAGGGUUUGCACUUACAUCACCAUUUGGUCAGUUACUCUGAUGUUACUUGGAUGUAAACAACAGCAUGGGGUGCAUGGUAAAUGUACUACUGAGUAUGUUGCUCUGCUAAUUUAUGCUGUCCAAACCAUGGAAAAAACGUGUGGAAGCUGCUAAAUCAUAGCAGGAAAGGGCACAAUAUUUUGACAAACAAAAAUUAAU